AAAGCUCAAAUUUAAAAUCUGGCAGCAAUCCUGCUGUCCGAGUUGUAAAUUAGAGAAGUGCUAUCCGCGCUGGCCUGUGCAAAAGUCUCUUGGAAAAGAGCAUCAUAGAGGGUGACAAUCCCGUCUUUGGCACAGAUCCCAGGGCUUUUGUGAUGCGCUCUCAAUGAGUCGAGUUGUUUGGGCAUGCAGCUCCAAAUGGGUGGUAAAUUCCAUCUAAAGCUAAAUAUUGGCGAGAGACCGAUAGCGAA
RNAcentral lists this ribosomal RNA (248 nucleotides) under Clavaria sp. 2 CRJH-2017. Its description in RNAcentral is "partial 28S ribosomal RNA". It matches the Rfam family "Eukaryotic large subunit ribosomal RNA", at positions 104 to 344 of the family's 3401-position model. Lineage: Eukaryota; Fungi; Basidiomycota; Agaricomycetes; Agaricales; Clavariaceae. The record is from RNAcentral.